This 424-nucleotide ribosomal RNA is filed under the name uncultured bacterium. RNAcentral describes it as "bacterial SSU rRNA". It matches the Rfam family "Bacterial small subunit ribosomal RNA", at positions 359 to 776 of the family's 1533-position model. The record is from RNAcentral.
GAAUCUUUCGCAAUGGACGCAAGUCUGACGAAGCCACGCCGUGUGCAUGAUGAAGGCCCUUUGGGUUGUAAAGUGCUGUCAGGAGAGAGGAACCGUUCUGCAUGAAUAGUGCAGGAUCUGACUGCUCUCCAACGGAAGCCCCGGCUAAACAUGUGCCAGCAGCCGCGGUAAUACAUGUGGGGCAAGCGUUGUUCGGAAUUACUGGGCAUAAAGGGUGCGUAGGUGGCGCGGUGCGUCUGUGGUGAAAGUCUUCGGCCCAACCGGAGAAUAGCCGCGGAUACGGCCGUGCUUGAGUGCAUUAGGGGUAGGGGGAACGAGCAGUGUAGCGGUGAAAUGCGUAGAUAUUGCUCGGAAGGCCAGUGCCGAAGGGGCCCUACUGGGAUGUAACUGACACUGAGGCACGAAAGCGUGGGGAGCAAACAGG